AGCAGAAUUACCUGUUUUCUUUAACUCUUAGGGACAAUAAUAAUCUGUAUUUAUAGAGGAAGACUAUAUUCCCCUUACUCACCUUCAGCACAAGGGCUCAUGGCAGAGGUUGCACACACACUAAAGCAUAGGAGGAAUCCUGCCAGAGAAGGACCGUCUUUGCUCAGAUUAGCCCUGAGCUAACAUCUGCUGCCAAUCCUCCUCUUUUUUGCUGAGGAAGACUGGCCCUGAGCUAACAUCUGUGCCCAUCUUCCUCCACUUUAUAUGUGAGACGCCUGCCACAGCAUCGCGUGCCAAGCGGUGCCAUGUCCACACCCGGGAUCUGAACUGGCAAACCCCGGGCUGGCGAAGUGGAACGUGUGAACUUAAUCACUGCGCCACUGGGCUGGCCCCUAUUUCUUUUUCUUAGAAACCUGAAAUAUUUGAACUGCUUAAAGUAUUCCAUUUCAUAAAUAUAAAAUUUACAUUCCAG
This 472-nucleotide long non-coding RNA is filed under the name Equus caballus (horse). RNAcentral's name for it is "lncRNA (ENSECAG00000055623.1)". Lineage: Eukaryota; Metazoa; Chordata; Mammalia; Perissodactyla; Equidae. The record is from RNAcentral.